CCGGCCCCCAUCCCGCUGCCAUCACGCCUCCCGGCCCCCGCACCCUUGUCUGUGUCCCACAGCACAGGACCUGUCAGCGAGCGUCUGGCGCCUUCCUCCCUCCCCUGCAGAGACCCGCCAGGCCCCUCCAACAGGUGCUUUCUAAACUGCAAUUUCCUCAUCUACAAAAGGACAAUCACAACAACGGAACCCAGGGGACAGGACUGCAUCAACUACAACCAGACGGCGUAGACGGCAGCACACGGCCCUCGGCAAAUCAGAGGUGCUCAGUGACCACAGCCACCAUGACAGCAGGGCGGGGCGGGGGGCAAGGAAGCAGCGCUGGGAGACUUGGAGACACCCCAAAAAACGCCUUCCUCAGAAACACUGCUGUGCAAGAACCUGCAAAUCCCUAAGGCGUCUGUGUCCGAUGGCCCCGGCCCCAUGCUCUGAGGUCGCGCAGGUGUCCAAGGCCAGGAGGGGCACCGAGGAGACGAAGAAGAAACAGCACAGCAGCUGGGGAGGUUUUCUGUGCCUGUUUUCGGUGAGCACAGAACAACUGAAGGAAGCGCGGGACAGACACAAGGGCGGGCCUCGGUGCCACGGCUGGCCUUGGGCAGAGGGAAAUGCUUUGUGUACUUUCUCUGGGAAGCAGCAGCCCCAGCGCGGCCUCGGCGUCCUCUGCCGCCAACUGCUCCGUGACCGCUGGGCGUGUGUGCGGGGACAUGGGAGCAACUUCACAGUGGUGGGAAGUUUCUCUCCUAAAACGAAAGCUUCUCUAUACUACAGAUUGGCCCCAUUAAAUAAAAGAAAAU
This 794-nucleotide long non-coding RNA is filed under the name Homo sapiens (human). Its description in RNAcentral is "non-protein coding lnc-GPER1-2:3". Lineage: Eukaryota; Metazoa; Chordata; Mammalia; Primates; Hominidae. The record is from RNAcentral.